Molecule: long non-coding RNA, 1040 nt
Filed under: Ganoderma lucidum
Lineage: Eukaryota; Fungi; Basidiomycota; Agaricomycetes; Polyporales; Polyporaceae
Description: long non-coding RNA (GLUC_LNC000036)
Source: RNAcentral
GCUCAACCGUUAAGGUGCGUAUUCCGGCCCAUCGUUCUCGCCGCCCUUCCAACCAUUCUCAUCUUCUCGCCAAGGUGGGAGAGCAUCGGCCCAUCCCUGGUGCCUAUCUCCCCGUCCAUCCAAUAGCGGCCCCCCAGCGGCUCCGUGUAGCCCGUGCCUUCGAGGGCGUCCCGUCCGAAGGGCUGGUAGAGCGCGCAGUACGACGUCAGGGACCUCCCACGUUCCCUCGAAUGGGCAGAAUGCCCAUCAGUCCGAGGGUACGUCCUCGCGCAUCGAUUCGCAUUCGAAUUCCGUACACACGCCUACCGCUUCGAGAUAGCGCUCCUAGGUUCCGUGCCCGCGUAGCCAUGCCUGCCCGCUAUCCGCCAGAUCGUGCUGGACGAGCUGGGCCACCUCAAACGGGGCAUUCGCACCCGACAUGCUCUGGCGGUUCGGCCGCUCCCAGGAGAGUGCGAACGCAUGACACAUCAGCUCGUCAGAUGUGUCCAAGAGCCUCGCGUUGACGUCGCCUGCCUGGGCUCUACUGAACCAUGGGCUGUAUCGCCGGUGAUCAUGGUCGCACAGUGUGCCUUAUCCCCUCGGGGGCGGCACUCACAACAUACGUCAGGGCGGCGUUUGUGUUCUUGAAGGACAGAUGCAGUACAACCGCCCUUAGCUUCCAUAUGUCGAUGUCCCGACAUAUCCACGAAUGCAGGGCACCGAGGCUGAGUGUGAGCGUAAGACGUACAACGGACGGCGACCCGAACCCUAGAUGCUCCCAACCGGCUCAAGGAUCGUGUGCGUCGGACCGUGGUGUGCGUUGGCGUUCGGAUCGCCCUUCGUCGCGUAGUGUCGCGCCGGGGCGCAGACGCACUCCACUAAGAAGAGGAGCACGACUCCGCUCUGUGCACGCAGGUGCCACCACCACUGCGGCGGCUUGGCUUCUGCCUCGCAGCCGCAUUAAUAUCUGCUUUAUCCAGGGUCCUGCCACCGCUCAUGACCGCCGACCGCCGCCUUCUGAGUUUCAGCUGGGGUUCCAGAUAUGCACGCGUUGUUGGCAC